CCUCGGGCCGCACCAGUGAGGAAUAUUGCACAAUGGGGGGAACCCUGAUGCAGCAACGCCGCGUGGAGGAUGACGCAUUUCGGUGUGUAAACUCCUUUUAUAUGUCAAGAAAAUGACGGUAGCAUAUGAAUAAGCACCGGCUAACUCCGUGCCAGCAGCCGCGGUAAUACGGAGGGUGCAAGCGUUACUCGGAAUCACUGGGCGUAAAGGACGCGUAGGCGGGUUGGAAAGUCAGGUGUGAAAUCCUACAGCUUAACUGUAGAACUGCACUUGAAACUUAUAAUCUAGAGUAUGGGAGGGGGAGAUGGAAUUAGUGGUGUAGGGGUAAAAUCCGUAGAUAUCACUAGGAAUACCUAAAGCGAAGGCGAUCUCCUGGAACAUUACUGACGCUAAGGCGUGAAAGCGUGGGGAGCAAACAGGAUUAGAUACCCGAGUAGUC
Molecule: ribosomal RNA, 439 nt
Filed under: uncultured bacterium
Lineage: Bacteria
Description: partial 16S ribosomal RNA
Rfam family: Bacterial small subunit ribosomal RNA
Source: RNAcentral